AGGUGGGCGGCCUCGGCCAGGCGACCUUCCUCCGCUUGGGCUGCUUCCCUCUUGGCGUUAUUCAUCGGCUCGAUGUUGGCGAUGAGCUGGUGUACAACCUGCAAGAGUGGCUAGGGCAUCAAUAUAAAAGCUAAGGAAUAAGCUAAGUAAAGGAGCGGAAAGAAGAAAGAAGUAAAUUGACUUACAUCGAGAAAAGACCCCAGAGAGUCCCAGACCCACUGCUCAGGAUCGGUGUG
Molecule: long non-coding RNA, 236 nt
Filed under: Elaeis guineensis (African oil palm)
Lineage: Eukaryota; Viridiplantae; Streptophyta; Magnoliopsida; Arecales; Arecaceae
Description: long non-coding RNA (EGUI_LNC044267)
Source: RNAcentral